RNAcentral lists this ribosomal RNA (253 nucleotides) under uncultured bacterium. RNAcentral's name for it is "partial 16S ribosomal RNA". It matches the Rfam family "Bacterial small subunit ribosomal RNA", at positions 524 to 776 of the family's 1533-position model. The record is from RNAcentral.
UACGUAGGGUGCGAGCGUUGUCCGGAAUUAUUGGGCGUAAAGAGCUUGUAGGCGGUUUGUCGCGUCUGCCGUGAAAAUCCGGGGCUCAACCCCGGACUUGCGGUGGGUACGGGCAGACUAGAGUGUGGGAGAGGUAAGCGGAAUUCCUGGUGUAGCGGUGAAAUGCGUAGAUAUCAGGAGGAACACCUGUGGUGUAGACAGCUUACUGGACCACGACUGACGCUGAGACACGAAAGCGUGGGUAGCAAACAGG